GCCGAAGUAGCUCAGAUUGGUUAGAGCGCUAGACUCAUAAGCUUGUGCGGUCAAGUUUUUCGCCGCACUAUUAAAUUAGCGCAUCGCAACAGUGGCUGGGACAUCUAGAAGUCGCGAGUUCAAGUCUCGCCUUCGGCA
This 138-nucleotide transfer RNA is filed under the name Candidatus Altarchaeales archaeon WOR_SM1_SCG. RNAcentral describes it as "Candidatus Altiarchaeales archaeon WOR_SM1_SCG tRNA". It matches the Rfam family "tRNA". From Rfam's summary of the family: Transfer RNA (tRNA) molecules are approximately 80 nucleotides in length. Their secondary structure includes four short double-helical elements and three loops (D, anti-codon, and T loops). Further hydrogen bonds mediate the characteristic L-shaped molecular structure. tRNAs have two regions of fundamental functional importance: the anti-codon, which is responsible for specific mRNA codon recognition, and the 3' end, to which the tRNAs corresponding amino acid is attached (by aminoacyl-tRNA synthetases). tRNAs cope with the degeneracy of the genetic code in two manners: having more than one tRNA (with a specific anti-codon) for a particular amino acid; and 'wobble' base-pairing, i.e. permitting non-standard base-pairing at the 3rd anti-codon position. Lineage: Archaea; Nanobdellati; Candidatus Altarchaeota; Candidatus Altarchaeia; Candidatus Altarchaeales. The record is from Rfam by way of RNAcentral.